Molecule: small nucleolar RNA, 104 nt
Organism: Nomascus leucogenys (northern white-cheeked gibbon)
Lineage: Eukaryota; Metazoa; Chordata; Mammalia; Primates; Hylobatidae
Source: Ensembl
AUCCUUUUGUAGUUCAUAAGCAUGAUGAUUGGGUUUUCACGCUGCUGUGUGAGAUGUGCCUCUCUCAAGCCUUGUUACAAUGUCAGCACAUUACCUAUCUGAUG